RNAcentral lists this ribosomal RNA (473 nucleotides) under Streptococcus sanguinis. RNAcentral describes it as "bacterial SSU rRNA". It matches the Rfam family "Bacterial small subunit ribosomal RNA", at positions 28 to 486 of the family's 1533-position model. Lineage: Bacteria; Bacillati; Bacillota; Bacilli; Lactobacillales; Streptococcaceae. The record is from RNAcentral.
GACGAACGCUGGCGGCGUGCCUAAUACAUGCAAGUAGAACGCUGAAGAGAGGAGCUUGCUCUUCUUGGAUGAGUUGCGAACGGGUGAGUAACGCGUAGGUAACCUGCCUGGUAGCGGGGGAUAACUAUUGGAAACGAUAGCUAAUACCGCAUAAAAUUGAUUAUUGCAUGAUAAUUAAUUGAAAGAUGCAAUUGCAUCACUACCAGAUGGACCUGCGUUGUAUUAGCUAGUUGGUGAGGUAACGGCUCACCAAGGCGACGAUACAUAGCCGACCUGAGAGGGUGAUCGGCCACACUGGGACUGAGACACGGCCCAGACUCCUACGGGAGGCAGCAGUAGGGAAUCUUCGGCAAUGGGGGGAACCCUGACCGAGCAACGCCGCGUGAGUGAAGAAGGUUUUCGGAUCGUAAAGCUCUGUUGUAAGAGAAGAACGGGUGUGAGAGUGGAAAGUUCACACUGGACGUAUCUACCAG